AACGAACGCUGGCGGCAUGCCUAACACAUGCAAGUCGAACGAGACCUUCGGGUCUUGUGGCGCACGGGUGCGUAACGCGUGGGAACAUGCCCUUAGGUUCGGAAUAACUCCCCGACAGGGGUGCUAAUACCGGAUAAUGUCUUCGGCCCAAAGAUUUAUUGCCUUUGGAUGGGCCCGCGUUGGAUUAGCUAGUUGGUAGGGUAAAAGCUUACCAAGGCGACGAUCCAUAGCUGGUUUGAGAGAAUGAUCAGCAACACUGGGAGUAAGACACGGCCCGGACUCCUACGGAAGGGAGCAAAGGGGAAUAGAGGACAGCGGGGGGAGGCCUGAAGCUGCAAGGCCGCUUAAGUGAUGUAGUCCGUGGAGUUGUAAAGCGCAAGUACCCAGGAUGAUAAUGACGGUACCGAGAGAAUAAGCUCCGGCUAACUACGUG
This 433-nucleotide ribosomal RNA is filed under the name uncultured bacterium. Its description in RNAcentral is "partial 16S ribosomal RNA". It matches the Rfam family "Bacterial small subunit ribosomal RNA", at positions 29 to 507 of the family's 1533-position model. The record is from RNAcentral.